GCCAGGUGUGGUGACGUGCACCUGUAAUCCCAGCUACUCCGGAGGCUGAGGUAGGAGAAUCACUUGAGCCCAGGAGGUGGAGGUUGCAGUGAGCCAAGAUCACCCCACUGCAUUCCAUCCUGGGCGACAGAGUGAGACUCCAUCUCAA
This 148-nucleotide non-coding RNA is filed under the name Nomascus leucogenys (northern white-cheeked gibbon). The record is from Rfam by way of RNAcentral. Lineage: Eukaryota; Metazoa; Chordata; Mammalia; Primates; Hylobatidae.